RNAcentral lists this long non-coding RNA (435 nucleotides) under Vigna radiata. RNAcentral describes it as "long non-coding RNA (VRAD_LNC002178)". The record is from RNAcentral. Lineage: Eukaryota; Viridiplantae; Streptophyta; Magnoliopsida; Fabales; Fabaceae.
AUAUAUUUUUGAAGAUGGAUAGCAUUAAAAUUGACAUGAAUAAAUGAAGUGUAGUUAAGAUUGAAAAGUAGCGUUGUUGAAUUUGUGUUUAGUUUUUGUUUGUGUGUGUGUUGCUUUGAAUUUAGCGUUUAUUGUGGUGAGAUAAGAUGACUUAAGAAGCGGGGAAAGAGCCGACCAUUAGGUAUUGAAAAGCAAAGUCAAAAAUAAAAAUGAUACGAAAAGUGACACAAUAAUCAUACUUGAAUUCUGAAACUGUAUGUGUAAGUAUGUCUGCUGUUUUGCUUUAAGAAGCAACACGUACGUACGUAAUUGGCAAGCCACAAGAAUAACACAUUUUUUCUUUCUUCCCAAAAAAGAUCAUCAUCCUAAAUUCAAAAACCCCUCAAUUUCUCUUCUUGGGGUCAAUAAUUUUUGCCAAUUCAUCCACUUCCCAAC